AUUGAACGCUGGCGGCAUGCCUUACACAUGCAAGUCGAACGGUAACAGGUCUUCGGAUGCUGACGAGGGGCGAACGGGUGAGUAAUACAUCGGAACGUGCCUAGUAGUGGGGGAUAACUACUCGAAAGAGUGGCUAAUACCGCAGGAGAUCUACGGAUGAAAGCAGGGGAUCGCAAGACCUUGUGCUACUAGAGCGGCCGAUGGCAGAUUAGGUAGUUGGUGGGAUAAAAACUUACCAAGCCGACGAUCUGUAGCUGGUCUGAGAGGACGAUCAGCCACACUGGGACUGAGACACGGCCCAGACUCCUACGGGAGGCAGCAGUGGGGAAUUUUGGACAAUGGGCGAAAGCCUGAUCCAGCAAUGCCGCGUGCAGGAUGAAGGCCUUCGGGUUGUAAACUGCUUUUGUACGGAACGAAAAGCCCCGGGUUAAUACCCUGGGGUCAUGACGGUACCGUAAGAAUAAGCACCGGCUAACUACGUGCCAGCCGCCGCCGUAA
RNAcentral lists this ribosomal RNA (498 nucleotides) under uncultured bacterium. RNAcentral's name for it is "partial 16S ribosomal RNA". It matches the Rfam family "Bacterial small subunit ribosomal RNA", at positions 30 to 523 of the family's 1533-position model. The record is from RNAcentral.